GGUGAAUUGCCUUGGGUGAAAAGCAUCUAUGGUUAAGACAUGCGUCUGGGUCUGGAGCCUGGCUGCCCUGGGAUCCCCACAUCACAUAUGUGGUAAGAGUUGGUUAUCUCUCAGCAGGGGCAAAGGGGGUGGCCUGAUCAUGUGAUCUCUCAUCCCAGGGCAGGAUCAGGAUAGCCCAGGCUUGCUCACAUAAUGGUAACAGAGUUGCAAGAAAGAGACUGGAAGUACACAAGACCUCUUGGAACAGGCUCAGAGCUGACACAAUCUGCUCUUGGUCAAAGCCAGGCACCGGACCAGCCCAGAAUCAAGGCUGCUUAUUCUAUUCUUCUUCUUCUUCUUUUUUUUUUUUUUUUAAAUGUUUAUUCAUUUUUUUGAGAGACGGAGAGAGACAGGGCGUGAGUGGGGGAGGGGCAGAGAGAGAAAGAGAGAGAGAGAGAGAGAGGAGACAGAAGCCAAAGCAGGCUCUAGGCUCUGAGCUGUCAGCACAAAGCCCGAUGCAGGGCUCGAACCCGUGACCUGAAUCGAAGGCAGAUGCUUAACCGACUGAGCCACCAAGGCACCCCUGCUUAUCUUAUUUUCCUUAUGUACUGAUGUUGGUCAUUCAAAUACAGAGUGCUCAUGACAGCAUUAUGCUUUCGGAUUCUAAGCAUUCAGCAGAUUUAAGCAUUUAUUUGGGGAUUAUUUUUCCUACUAUAUUUUUGAACGUAUUUGCUAUUUUAUUUGUUCAUUUUUUCUUUGCAAACACCAGUUAUGUAUUUUUGGAUACACUUUAACUGCCACUCUUGUCUAUCCUCUUCCUUAUAACCUCUUUUUGCUACUAUUAUAUACACCUAGAAUGUCCCUUUAGAAAUUUGCAGGCCUAAAAGUGUCACGUUAUUAAUCCAGGUUUUAGAUAAAAUGCCACAUGGUUAGAGAGACCUCUCCUAGUCACCCAAUCUAAAGAAGACCUUACCUUUUCAUCUUCUAUCACAUAGUCUUGUUUUACUUUUUUUACUAGGACUACAUAUAUUUAUUCUAUGUAUUUUAUUUUUUCUACCCCCUCCCCCACCAUCCUAGAUUAUAAACUCUAUGAAGGCAGAGAUGCUUCUAAUCUUAAACCCCGCUAAAACUCCAGCAUUCAGCAGCGCUCCUGGCAUAUAGGGGGUAUUCAGUAAUUGGUUGUUGAAUGAAUGAAUGAAAGUCCUGUCUGUUUUAAGGUAAAUUUUUUUAAUGUUUAUUUAUUUUUGAGAGAGAGCGUGAGUGGUGGGGGGCAGAGAGAGACGGGGCCACAGAAUCUGAAGCAGGCUCCAGGCUCUGAGCUGUCAGCACAGAACCUGACGCAGGGCUCGAACUCAUGAACUGUGAGAUCAUGACCUGAGCUGAAGUCGGACGCUCAACCAACUGAGCCACCCAGGCAGCCCUGCUUUAAGGGCCAGCCACGAGUCCCUAAAGACCUUCAGGUGACCUUGCAGUUCACUUAGUUACUGUGCACCUUCUGUUGAUGGAGAAGAAAUUACCUGGAUGUUGCUGGAAUUACCUGGAUAAUGGCUGUUAAAUCCAGUCUGGACCAUACUUCUUGCUGGCACUGGAGAAGCAAACAUAUACAUGAAACACAAUCUCUGUCUCACUGGAAGAAGAAAAAGAAGAAGAGGAGGUCCGAUGACUUCAUAUGAAUUAACUCAAUUAAUCCUCACAGCAAUCCUACAAGAUAGGCGAAUUUUUAUCCCCAUUUUACAGAUGAAACAACCAAGAUUAAGUUCUUUGCCCAAGAUCAUGUCAUUGCUAAGUACUUCAUGGCUCUGGGGUCCAUGAACUGUAUCACUGUGUUAGGUUUCCUCUCUUAAAACAUAGUGUUCCGUACCACAGAUUCUAAAAAGCAUAUAAAAUGAACUGUUUUGUUCAUUUCUUCCACAAAUACUUACUGAGCUCUAACUAUGUUCUAGGCAGUAGACUAGCCUAGGGGGGAUAAAAGGUAGCAAGAAAGACAUGUGGUUCUAUCCUUGAGAAGCUGACGGUCUCAAAGCAAAUAAAUCCAAGGACGCCAACCGAUUCAAACGUUAUAAACCAAUUCAGUUCCUCCAACCUGGGAUGGAGGGAAAGAGCAGGGGAAUUUUCUCUAGAUGUGGUGGACAGGAAGGUCUGCCUGACACGUUAGCUAAGACCUGAAGGAAGAGAUGGAGCUGAGCUGAAGGCAAGAGCAUCUGGGAUGGGGAAUGGGUGGUUUUGAGCCACUGAAAGCAGAGAGAAGAACAGCGAGAGGUGAGUUGGAGAGGUGGGUAUCCGGCCAUGCGGGGCCUCAGGGGUGAUUGUGAGUAGUUGUGAUUUCAUGCUGAAGGCAGCAGAGAGCCACGAAGAGCUUUAAGUGGGAGCGUAACGAAUGGUGUGAUCUGAUCUCUUUUUAGAAAGCACUUCUGCUUCAUGGGAAUGGAUUACAAGAAGCAGAGACCUUGUGGAGAGACCCAUGUGUGGCUUGCAUUCUCAUGGUCCCAAGAUGGCUGCAAUCCUUCCAGCCCAUAUCCAUGUUUGCAACAGGAAGAUGGAAAAGGAAGCAAGCAACAUGGAAGAAAGUAGUGACCCUUCUCUGAAAGAAAACUUUCCUUGAAACCCCCCACAGACUUCUGCUUAUAUCUCCUUGGCCAAAAUUCUGUCCCAAGGCUAGCCUUUGUUGCAAGGGACGCUGGGAAAUGCGGCUUUAUAAUGGAGUGAGGUAAGUCUCUGCCACAAUCAGAUUAGGGUGACAGGGAGAAUGGAUAUGGGGUAGACAGCCAACAGUGUCUGAUAGACCAUCCUCUGCCUUAGUUAACCUGUGAAUCUGAGUAGCCUGAAGGACAAUAUAUUUUUUAAUUUACUCAGGUCUCCAUUCUUCAUGAGUGAGCAAACUGCAUCACGAGUGCUGGCAAACCCGGGGCUGUCCUAUUUCUGAUGAUAAAGAAUCUUCCAUUUGUGAAAAGGAAAGACCGACCUUCUGUCAUCGACCUCCUUGCCACCUCCCAAGAGCAUCCCUCAGUCCCAGAACUUCUCUCUUUUUCGAGUGACUGUGUCACACAGAAGCAUUGCCAUCAGGCUUGGUAUUCUGCCACCAAGCUCAUACCAAAUAUCCUGAGAAGUUGGCUAAGUCCAAUUGAGUGCCACUUUUAUCUUACAAACUGCCUCGUGAUUCUUGGAAGGGAAGCAAUACCAGAUUUAGCUAUGGGAGAGUCUCCUCAUCAGGGUCCCCAGGGCAGUCUAGGUGACCCAGGCGUGUGAGCCAGCCAUCCCCAGUAUGUGUCUCUGGGAUGCUGAAGCCUUUAUUCUCUGUGCAUUGUAGGGCCCCUCUACCUGAGCCGAGAAGAGAAUUCCCUGGCAGAAAGCAGAGGCCUGUCUAGAAGCUGUGGCCCAUUAGCCUUGUACAAAGAUAGACUGUGCUCUGCUGGAAUCUAAUCUGGAAGCGUUUAAUACAUUUGCAGCACACGUGCCAGCUACUUAGGAGGAGGGAUGGUCAGUUUUUUCUCUAAAAGAGAAACUUCAAGCAGAAUAUAAAUCAGCCUUCUCAAUAUGCCCAUCAUACCUGACACUGAAAAGAGUCUUCAGUGAGGGGAAUUGUGGUCUCUGGGGAAGAACCUUGGCCAACAACGAAGAGAAAGAGAAGGAAAAGACCAAAAAAGAAAAGGAAGGAGAGGCUCUCAUUGUGUUGAAUCAGAAACCACUUUUUCUCUGGAAGAAAUUCAGCAAGUGAGUGUCUUGUCAACUUACUCGAGUGAAAACAGGGGCAAUUAAGACAGGACAAACCAUCCCCAAACGCUCAAGUUUGGGAUUCGUUGAACAUCUCAAGCUAUUUUCCAAAUGUUUGGGGUUUGGCACAGUCCGGGCUCAUGGUUGGGAAAUUUUCCUGAAGAUCUGUCUGAAUGGCCCUAUUUUUAUUCCAUCCCCUUGCAGUUAAUAUCCGGCUAACUCAUUCGCUCCAUGUUUUGUACUGGCUACACGUUGGAUAUCUUCAGACCCUACACGCGUCUGUUCCCCUUCAUGUGGUUCACCGAAAUCUCAGGAUAUCGUCUUCCUGCCAUUUGUGUCUUUGUCCACCAUCCUCGGGGAUUGGGACAUGGCGGCAAGGACAGAAACGGGCCCACGUCACGUGCAGCGCUGCACAAGGAUUCCAAAAACGUUUCUCAAAGCCUCAGGAGGUGCAAGAGCUGACUGCACAGUUUUGGAAAGAUUGCAUACGGAGAGGGAUUGAACUUAUUCUCUCUGGCCCUAGAGGGGUGGAACUAGGACCAGAGACGUCUGUGGGCUCACUACAAGAAGGAACUUCUCAUUUCAGAGCAGCCAGAAGGACAAAGAGCUGUGUUGUCUUCGGCAGAAGACGUGGGUCUCCAUCCGAGGUUCGUAAUGGUCCUCCAUUAAUUUUUGGAGACUGAAAAAUGUAUCAAUAAAGGUAUUCAACUAUAGACAAUGGUUGGAUCGAACGA
Molecule: long non-coding RNA, 4424 nt
Organism: Neofelis nebulosa (Clouded leopard)
Lineage: Eukaryota; Metazoa; Chordata; Mammalia; Carnivora; Felidae
Exons: 4
Source: RefSeq, a predicted model, not a curated record